UAGGUGGAUGCUCGCUGGUUAGAGUACUUAGCUGUUAACUAAGCUUAUGUGGGAUCGAGGCCCUCCCACCUAG
RNAcentral lists this transfer RNA (73 nucleotides) under Allocyttus niger (black oreo). RNAcentral describes it as "tRNA-Asn". Lineage: Eukaryota; Metazoa; Chordata; Actinopteri; Zeiformes; Oreosomatidae. RNAcentral also lists the same sequence under 1 other name. The record is from RNAcentral.